AUACGUAGGUGGCAAGCGUUGUCCGGAAUUAUUGGGCAUAAAGCGCAUGUAGGCGGUUUGGUAAGUCGGUCGUGAAAAUGCGGUGCUUAACGCCGUAUGGCGAUUGAAACUGCUGAACUUGAGUGCAGGAGAGGAAAGGGGAACUCCCAGUGUAGCGGUGAAAUGCGUAGAUAUUGGGAAGAACACCGGUGGCGAAGGCGCCUUUCUGGACUGUGUCUGACGCUCAGAUGCGAAAGCCAGGGUAGCGAACGGGAUUAGAUACCCCGGUAGUCCUGGCCGUAAACGAUGGGUACUAGGUGUGGGAGGUAUCGACUCCUUCCGUGCCGGAGUUAACGCAAUAAGUACCCCGCCUGGGGAGUACGGCCGCAAGGCUUAAACUCAAAGGAAUUGACGGGG
This 396-nucleotide ribosomal RNA is filed under the name uncultured bacterium. Its description in RNAcentral is "partial 16S ribosomal RNA". It matches the Rfam family "Bacterial small subunit ribosomal RNA", at positions 523 to 918 of the family's 1533-position model. The record is from RNAcentral.